GUUAAUAUCAUAUGUAUACUAUGGCCCUUCGUCCUUUGCGUUUUUAUAUACAUACAGUGUAUAUAUGACUGUAUUUCAGUCAUUUAUACACAACUUUAGUCCCCCAACUGUAUCACCAUCUUCAUACCACCAGUAUACCAGCCCUCACACUGCGUAUAUCGCUGUAUACCAAUGCAAAAACAGUCCUCUUGGGACUUGGUCUUGAGGUUUUGACUCGAGGAAGUGGGGGUUUGGCCCCCGAAAUGCAAGGGGGAGGGUCCCGUUGAUCCAUGUAGUUCAUGCAUUGCAAAGAAAAGAAAAAGAUUAGUACGUGAUGCAAUGAAGAUCAAACCUUGGAUGGACAAAUAGAACAAAGAAACACGUCUAAUUAUAUGAUUUUAACAUUCCGUCCAAGACAGCCUCUAUGGAGUGCAUUCUCAUCAAAGAAGAUAAAUUUUAGCAAGGAACAUGAAUCACAAAAAGAAAACCAUACAAAGUGAAAUAUUAUCUCAGAUUGGAGCCACGACACAAUACUAUGAUUAAUAAUUAAUUAAUGCCACUUUUCAUAUAAAAAGAAAGGGUAAUAAACUUAGUCAUCACGCAUAACAAAUCAAACCAAAUUAGAAUAGCAUGGCUAUGUUAAUAAAUAUUUGAAAAGUCAAAGAGGGGUUUUUAUAAUUAAACAUAAAGUCUUAGUCAUUUUUUAUUGAAUCUAGCAGAGAGAAGCGACCAAAGUCAGGAUACACUUCAAACAAGAUAAGAACCUUCCCUUUUUUAGAAUUCCAACAAAGAAAACAAAUAGAAUAUUCCAGAUUAGAUAAGCGACCAAAGUCAGGAUACACUUCAAACAAGAUAAGAACCUUCCCUUUUUUAGAAUUCCAACAAAGAAAACAAAUAGAAUAUUCCAGAUUAGAUAACGUCUCAUGCUUUCGGCGACCAUAAGGAAAAAUAACAUCGGCAAGAGAACAAUUUUUCAGGCUUGUGUUUCCAGAGGAAUAGUUGAAUAACCAUGCUACAGUAUGGGUCUGCAUAAUCGAAAUCAUUCCAACUUCUACGCAAAUAAUAAAAUCAAGAAAAUUUUAUAUUAAUAAAUCGUGCAUUAUGAAGAUUGACAGAAAGGAACUACCUUUUCCUGGGCAGCGAAAAGAACAGGAUGAGCUCUAAGUGAUCGGAAUUCCACCGAAAUUUAAUUGUUUGUGCAGGUGGUUCAAUUUCAACUUCAUCGGGAUUGAUUUUUCGAUGAAAUUUCUUCUUGAAUUCUUUGGUUACGUGGGAUUAGAGGACCGCUCCUCCCGAAUCUCCAAUUUUUCGCCAAAGAAUCCUCUCCCUUUUCUCUCUUCCUUCAACCUCUAUUUAUAGGGGAAAAGUUUUGGGAUUUUCAGACUUGAAAACUGAAAUUCAAGUGAUUUCUUCAGAAAUUUUGAAAUCCACUUUGGGACAAAAAGAAGAGUCGUUGAGCAUUAAUUGCUUACCCAAAAUGGUGAAUUAAAGACUGAGAAAGAUGAAAGUUAUCUGAUUUUAGCCAUAAAUGGCUGUACAAUGAGGGAAAAAUGGUAAAAAAAAGCGUAUGGGUUUUGCCGUGGUUGACUGGCCGUGACGCCGUUUUUGGCUGUGGGUUAGGGACGUUUGGUCACUGUUUUGCUUUUGUACGCCGUUGUUGUACUGUUGUCAUUGUUUGAUGAUGAGGAAAAAGGAAAAGAAAGGAGGUGGGCCGGGUUGAUUGUUAUGAUGUUGGGCUAGGCUGAAAUAGAGUGGGUUGGUGGGUGUUUGUGGAGCUGGUUGGGUUGUAAGGUGCUAUUGGGUCAGCUGGUGAGUAAUUGGGCUGGGAAGUUGUUGUUUGCUGGGCCUGGGCGGGCAAUUUGGUUAAAAGGGAAAUGGGUUGGUUAGGGAACCAAUUAAAAAUUGUAACCAUUCCAUAUAAAUAAGAAUGACCACAAUUGAAUAGAUUGGACGAAAUUAACUUUUAAUUAAUUUAACGAAUUUCUCAAAUUUAAUAACUUCAAAAUAAA
RNAcentral lists this long non-coding RNA (1988 nucleotides) under Capsicum annuum. Its description in RNAcentral is "long non-coding RNA (CANN_LNC016215)". Lineage: Eukaryota; Viridiplantae; Streptophyta; Magnoliopsida; Solanales; Solanaceae. The record is from RNAcentral.